This 3129-nucleotide long non-coding RNA is filed under the name Sus scrofa (pig). RNAcentral describes it as "lncRNA (ENSSSCG00000055575.1, ENSSSCG00110019941.1)". Lineage: Eukaryota; Metazoa; Chordata; Mammalia; Artiodactyla; Suidae. The record is from RNAcentral.
GGUAUGCGGUUCUCACACAGAGCCCACAGUUUGCUGAGACAGUACAUGUGCCGCUACAUGGUACUGGCAGUUUAGUUACUGCUGUCCACUUCCAAGAAGGCAGACCCCGAACAUGUGGCAAUGCACUGCUGAAGAGUUCUUCAGUAUAUACAGAAAGGAAGAGAGUGUCAUGGGUGAGACCAAGUAAGCAUAAUUUUAAGAUAGGUUAGAUAGAAAAUUAAUUACAGGAGUUCCUACUGUGGCUCAGCAGGUUAAGGACCCUUCUUUUUGACUUGUCUCUUCAAAGAUGCAGGUUUGACCCCUGGCCUUUCUCAGUGGGUUAAGGAUCCAGCAUUUCCACAAGGUGCAGUGUAGGUUGCAGAUGCAGCUUAGGUGUGUUGUCGCCAUAGCUGUGGUAUAGGCUGCAGCAGCAGCUUCGAUUGAACCCCUGGCCUGGGAACUUCCAUAUGCCACAAAUGUGGCCAUAAAAAGAAAAAAAAAUUAAUUACAAUGAGCCCUAGAGGAAAUAUAAAGUAUAUAAAUACAGCCUAAAAUGUGGUUUUGGAAGUUGCCAUUUGGAAGCAGCAGCAGCUUCGAUUGGACCCCUAGCCUGGGAACCUCCAUAUGCCGCAGGUGGGGCCCUAAAAAGCAAAAACAAAAUAAUAAAAUAAAAUGUGGUUUCAUUUAAUGAACUGAGUAUAAACUUAAGUAUAGCUAUAUUGAACAUAGUUGACCUAAGAAGCAGUGAGAGAGCCUCACAAAGGUUUACCUUCAUUUUUUAAGACUGAUUUGGAAAUCUUAAGUUAUUAGCAUUAUAUCAAGACCCCAUCUCUUGGACUUGGUUGUCUCCUCAGUCAAAUAACCCAUUUAAUUUGAAGAAUGAAAUUUCUUGUUCCAAACACAUAUGUUUCUGGAUCUCUGUGUCCAUCUUUUGUUUAAGUGUGUGUGUGUGUGUGUGUGUGUGUGUGUGAUGCUGACAUAGCAGAUGCCCCAUGGUUUAGUUUAGUUUUCAGAUUGGUGCCAGUGGCUUAUUAGGUCCAGAUAAUCAAGACAGGGGUGCCAGUUUAGUUCAGGGUUAUAUGUAGGAAGUCAAGAGAAACAUCCUAAUAUUCUUUUGUGAAUUAAGUGUAAACUAUCUCAGGAGGCUACUAAGUCCCAUGGUAAUGUGAAGAAAUGUAGAAGAAGAAUGGGGUUUUCUUUCUCUUCAGCAUACACAUUCCUGAGUGUUCUAGUUUCAGCAUUUAGGGUUGAGAGGAGGAGGAAGACUGGCCUUCCUCUAUUUCUACUCCUUUUUCCUGCCCUCUUCUGUUUUUGAUCUCUAGCCAUACCUCUGUGUCUUACCAAUUUUUACCUUAUUUUUGUUUUAGAGAAGUUACCUGUCCUCCCUCCCCACUUUCCAAUCUUGAUCUGUGUCCUCCUUUCCCUAAGGAUUUGCUUUCCAUGCAUCUCUCUUCUGUUUAGUGACUAUAUCCUUCUUUACUGCAGUGACUAUAUCCUUCCAGUGAAAACUACCAAACAGAUCUUCUUCUGGUUGUAACAGGAACUAUAUUUAUCCUUCUACCUUAAACAACUAGAAAACUGAACAGAAUAUACAGAAUUACUCUGUUAGGCAUUGGAAUACAGGCCAUGAAAGACAUUGAUAUUUGAGAAGAAAAACAAUUGAGGAAGUCCUGCAAUCACCCCAACUUUUUGCCUGUUGUGACAUCCUGGACCACAGAGCAGGGAGGAGGAUCCCAGGCAGUGCCCAGCAGUCUCACUAGAUGGAGGCAAAGAUGCAAGUAGGAGGUAGAGGUAGCUGGAGUGGGGAGAGCUAGCAGAAACAGAACUGCAGAGAUCUGUAUAGGGGUCUCCUUCUGUCUUUGUUGAGCAUCAAAAUGUAAAUUCAUAGGGUGAAACUCCACAAGGUUGGGUUAAGAGUGGCUGGGGAGUCGUGAGUUCUAGUGUUGUAGGAACCUUCCCAAGGCUGGGGACUGUUCAGGCUUCUUCCAGUCACAGGGGAAAUUCUCCCUGAUCACUUGAGUACUCAGUAGAGACUCCAGAAAGACUGCAACUUAACAGAAGUUUUAAGGAAGAGACUAUCUGAUGUAACAGAUCCUAAAAAUAAGCCUCAAAAGGAUAAAACUGAACCACAGUUGACUUUACUGCUUGCCAGAACAAAGCUCAACACUCUUUAAAGUGAGAUAGUAAAAUCCAUAUAUUCAAUAACACAGAUCUGUAAUAUCCUGCAUCCUACUCAUUGGUAGUCAUGACAAGAAGCAGGAAUACAUUGUCUUUUAUGGGAGACAAUAAGUCGAUAGAAACAAAUAAAGAAAGUAUAGCAUGAUGAAAUUAGCAGACAGGGACUUAAAAACCACUAUUAUAAAUAAGUUUAUGGGAGUUCUCAUUGUGGCUCAGUGGGUUAAGGACCCAGUGUUGUCUCUGUGAGGAUACAGGUUUGAUCCCUGGCCUUUCUCAGUGGGUUAAGGAUCUGGCAUUGCCACAAGCUGUGUCAUAGGUCACAGAUGUGGCUCCCAUCUGGUGUUGCUGUGGCUGUGACAUAGGCCACAGCUCCUCCUUUUCCAGAGCCUUACCCACUCUGGCUGUCACACCGCUAGAUCCAUAGUCCAGACCCAGUUACUUCUGCAGAGGACUAAUUGUUCUCUGUGUGGGCUCCCAUAGUAUUAAUCACCUUCCAUUCUAAUGAGCUGCAAAUUUGUCUUCUCUGGGGAACUGUGAGCUCUCUUCCUAUUUGCCUCUGUCACCCUAGGACCUCACACAGGGCCUGCUCCUCAGUGGGAGCUCCGUCAACACUCACCAUGAUGGGACAGAUGGGGACUCCACAUCCAAGGCCUUAAUCCAUAGAGGUGUGCACACUCCCAGGUCUCCCAGGCUUUUCAAAAAGGGAAUGGUGGCAACCUGAAAAAGGAUUAUGGUUUCAAAGUAGUAUAAGAAAAGGAAAAGAUGAGAAAUUCCCUUCGAGCCACAUGAAAACAAAUCCCACUGGUAUCCAUGAGGAUGCGGGUUCCAUCCCUGGCCCGGCUGAGUGGGUCUGGGAUGCAGCGUUGUUGUGAGCUGUGGUGUAGGUCGCAAUGGUUCCCCUGUUGCUGUGGCUGUGGUGUAGGCCUGGAAACCUCCAAUUUGCCCCCUAGCCUGGGAACCCCCAUAUGCCUC